CGCGUAGGCGGAUGUUACAGUCAGGCGUGAAAUUCCUGGGCUCAACCUGGGGGCUGCGUUUGAUACGUGAUGUCUGGAGUUCGGAAGAGGGUCGUGGAAUUCCCAGUGUAGAGGUGAAAUUCGUAGAUAUUGGGAAGAACACCGGUGGCGAAGGCGGCGACCUGGUCCGAUACUGACGCUGAGGCGCGAAAGCGUGGGUAGCAAACAGGAUUAGAUACCCUGGUAGUCCACGCCCUAAACGAUGCAUAUUUGGUGUGGGCCAUUCAUUUGGUCUGUGCCGGAGCUAACGCGUUAAAUAUGCCGCCUGGGGAGUACAGUCGCAAGGCUGAA
RNAcentral lists this ribosomal RNA (330 nucleotides) under uncultured bacterium. RNAcentral describes it as "bacterial SSU rRNA". It matches the Rfam family "Bacterial small subunit ribosomal RNA", at positions 568 to 898 of the family's 1533-position model. The record is from RNAcentral.